UACGGAAGGCAGCAGUGGGGAAUAUUGCACAAUGGGCGAAAGCCUGAUGCAGCUAUGCCGCGUGUAUGAAGAAGGCCUUAGGGUUGUAAAGUACUUUCAUCGGGGAGGAAAAAACAAAACUAAUAAUUUUAUUUCUUGACGUUACCCGAAAAAGAAGCACCGGCUAACUCCGUGCCAGCAGCCGCGGUAAUACGGAGGGUGCUAGCGUUAAUCAGAAUUACUGGGCGUAAAGAGCACGUAGGUGGUUUUUUUAAGUCAGAUGUGAAAUCCCUGGGCUUAACCUAGGAACUGCAUUUUGAAACUAAAAUACUAGAGUAUCGUAGAGGGAGGUAGAAUUCUAGGUGUAGCGGUGAAAUGCGUAGAUAUCUGGAGGAAUACCUGUGGCGAAAGCGGCCUCCUAAACGAAUACUGACACUGAGGGUGCGAAAGCGUGGGGAGCAAACAGGGAUUAGAUACC
This 457-nucleotide ribosomal RNA is filed under the name uncultured bacterium. Its description in RNAcentral is "bacterial SSU rRNA". It matches the Rfam family "Bacterial small subunit ribosomal RNA", at positions 340 to 786 of the family's 1533-position model. The record is from RNAcentral.